RNAcentral lists this ribosomal RNA (301 nucleotides) under uncultured bacterium. RNAcentral describes it as "partial 16S ribosomal RNA". It matches the Rfam family "Bacterial small subunit ribosomal RNA", at positions 509 to 807 of the family's 1533-position model. The record is from RNAcentral.
CAGCAGCCGCGGUAAUACAGAGGGUGCGAGCGUUAAUCGGAUUUACUGGGCGUAAAGCGUGCGUAGGCGGCUUCUUAAGUCGGAUGUGAAAUCCCUGAGCUUAACUUAGGAAUUGCAUUCGAUACUGGGAAUCUAGAGUAUGGGAGAGGAUGGUAGAAUUCCAGGUGUAGCGGUGAAAUGCGUAGAGAUCUGGAGGAAUACCGAUGGCGAAGGCAGCCAUCUGGCCUAAUACUGACGCUGAGGUACGAAAGCAUGGGGAGCAAACAGGAUUAGAUACCCCCGUAGUCCCUGUCUCUUAUAC